This is a long non-coding RNA of Humulus lupulus (European hop), 2057 nucleotides long. RefSeq lists it as uncharacterized. NCBI's taxonomy places the organism in Eukaryota, Viridiplantae, Streptophyta, Magnoliopsida, Rosales, Cannabaceae. The transcript is spliced from 4 exons. The record is from RefSeq and is a predicted model, not a curated record.
UGGAAGAGAUGUUAUCAUCUCUAUUUUCCUACCAAUUAAGAUAAAAUCAAAUACAAUUAAAAUAAAAGAAAAUUAUCAAAAAGGGGGAACUUACCAUUUUUUCCUUAGGCUAUUUUGGCUAGGUUAGAAUAAAGAGGGAAGGAGAAAGGGAAGAGAACCAUUUUCCAUGGUGGCUGCCGAAACUUAGAGAGAGAGAAAGAGAGAAAGAUAGAAUGAAUGUGACAAGAGAGAGAGAGAGAGAGAGAGGAAGAAAAAAUAGUAGGAAGAAGAAGAAGGUCUUGGAGAGUCAUAGGUAGCAAAUAGGACUUCUUUGUGGCACGCGUGGUGAUGUGGGAAGUUCCAACGUCGGGGUGUGUAUGGUGUGGGGGCAUUCCAUGGAUGAGAAAACGAUCAAUUUAACGCCAAUUUCUAAGAAUAAUGUUAUGUUUAUUUUUAACUUUCAGAACUUAUCAGUAAGACUUGAACUUUAAUUAUUUUUAAAAUGUUGCAUGAAAACUAUUAUUUUCCUUUUAAACUGUUGGGCCCAACUUGCAUGUUUUAGAAAGGCCUCACUGUGAUUUUUCUUCUAUAAGUUUAUGAGCAUGUAAAAGUUUUACAAAGUAUUAGACUAGAGUGAUUUACAAAUUGUAUCAGAGACGGUCGUCCAUGUUUCCAAGGACCUCCACAUACACACUAAAGACUAGAAAAUCUCACCUCACUGUGUCAGGAGAUGUCUCAGCCCAGGAACAAAGACCUGCGAGCUAUGUUCACCGGAGGGAACUCUUCCACUGGAGCCUCUGGGCCCAAAAUGAAGAAGCUCCGGGUGGCGAAGAAAGCCGCUGGGACCCCAACCAAGUCCCCUACAAAGGGGAAAGACCAGACCCCAGCUGUCCAGGCCAAGGUACCACCACCUCCGGCCGCAGUGGAGAAGAUGCCCCCGCCCCCUCCACGAGCUCCCGCCUUUGUUCGGGAUAUGGGGGCGGACCCCGGGAUUUUGACAAUCGCAGCCCUCGAGGUGCGCAUUCUGGUGGACCCCCAGGCCCUAGAGAAAAUUUCUAACGUCUUUCGGGGGACGGUGUACGAGACGGCGACCUACGACGUCGACCACAACUACGACACCACCGAAAAGGACCUGCGGGCGAUCGAAACAAGGAGCCCGGAGAGCGUGACGGAGUCUUCACUGGGAAUGGCUCUAACGGGUGCCUUGGCUCUUCACCGGAGCAUUUCCAGGUCCAAGGCUCGACUCGAGGACAUGAGGGGCAAGCAUCAGGCUGUUCUGGCCGCCCAGCAGACUACCUUGGCCUCCUUGAGGACGGCCCAAAAGUAGGAACAGGAGGCUAAGGAUGCCUUGGCGGCCGCACGGGUCGAGCUGGACGCGUUCCAUCCCAAGCUGCAAGAGGCUGAGGCUAACAAGGCCGCCCUAGCCACUGUAACAGCCGAACUCGAGGAGGCCAAGGCUGCCCGGGCCAUGCUAGACUCUGCCAAAACCGAGGCUGCUGGGGCCAAGGCCACCUUGGCAACGGAGAAGGCAGCUUCCAGCUCCGCCAUGGAGGACAUGCUAUACCACUGCUGGAUUUUCAAUCCAGAUGGCGACUUCUCCUUUCUAGGACCGGAUGUCUGGGAGCCCUUCCUGGAGGGGUUUAAAGCUCGUCUUCAGCAAGAGGCGCCCUCUGAGACCGGGGAGACCUCCACAGCGGCCGAGUAGGAGGGCGAGACGGCGACCUAUACAGAGCAGCCCGAUGGACCCUAGGGCCUUUCUUUUUCUUUUUUGAACACAUUAUUAUUUUAUUUUUUUUGUAACUUUUGUAUGAGGUUUUUUCACCUCGAGACAAUUGGCUUUAUCCAUUUUUUCUUUUAAUUGGUUUAUAUCUUUUUGUUGGUGCUAUGAUUGAUGCUUUUAUAUUUUUCUUAGAAAAAACAUGUUAACCAAUCUUGACCCAACUUCUAAGAUAAGUCAUGGUUGCACUCCGAACAUUGCAUUAAAAACUUAGUUCGCGUUAACCUCUUAUUGAUAUCUCAUGCUUUUUAAGAAAAACAACGAUCAAUCAAUUUGAAUUAACUUCUAAGUUUUAUGACCU